RNAcentral lists this long non-coding RNA (4217 nucleotides) under Sus scrofa (pig). Its description in RNAcentral is "lncRNA (ENSSSCG00040016575.1)". The record is from RNAcentral. Lineage: Eukaryota; Metazoa; Chordata; Mammalia; Artiodactyla; Suidae.
AGGUGUAGCCAGGGAGAGGGUGGAGCCAACGACUGUGACGGGCUUCCCGACUGCCCGAAGUGGGAGUGGUGGGGUUGCAGGAAGGAGAAAGGAAGAGAAGCAGAAGAGGGCAGCAGCGGCUGCCACUAACGGCCUCCCUGGGCGCUGACAGGCUGGGUCGGCGCCCAGUUCGCUGGGCAGUUCGUGCCGCCGCCUCGGCCGCUCGGCCCCUGGGCCUGGACUUGUGGCGCGGGGCGAGGCGGAGGGCUGCUGUCGCCGCGCAGGCAGAGGCCGGGUCCUCGCGGCCGAGACAUGUGAGUAGGAGCCGAACCCACACCGGAGAGCCCCGGAGGGCCCAGCCUUCGGACGCUCGGACCCUUGCUCCCUCCGGGGUCUUCGCGGACCGUGGCUGGCCGGAAGCGUCGGGUUUCGGAAGCAGGCAAGGGAAGAUGUGAUCUGUUUCUCUUCUGCAGAAAAAGAGGCCCUUCCUCCCCUUCCCGCGAAGGUGAGUGUGCGAUCCUGGCUGCUCUUUUUCGCUGUAAAGACUAGGGUGUCUCGAGCGUGCGUAGGAAGGUUGGAACCUGUGUCGACAAGCAGGGCUCAUUGUUGCUUACUCCUUUGAAAACGACAGUGCUGAACUUUGAAUGUUGGUUUGGGAGGGUGAUUUGGGGGUUUGUUGUUGCUCUUGGAUCCUUUAAGAAACAUUCAUUGUUUCUCUGCUGAUUGUACAUUGUUUUUCUUUGUAGAGAAAUCGUUGUCAGUUACCCUUUCUCAAGCAGCCAGAGAUUCUUAAUCUUUCAAGGAGGAACGUUUUCAAGUAGCAAGAAAUACCUAUUGAGAGGACACGUUAGCUGCUUUUGCUGGGGUUUCUGCUACUACAUUGAAUGCUUCCUGGAUGGUUUUAUCUUCCCAAGUUAGCUGUGUCGGUUGAAUUUACCCAUUUUGCUUUCCGGUGGUUAAUAAUCUGUCAGGAGAAACUCCUUUUUUUUUUUGAAUGAAAGGAUAGAGGCAGCUGAGUAUGUCAUAGAGGGGAGGAGAAAUGUGGGGAAGGACACUAGAAGUGGAAUUAAGAGUGAUGACGAUGGCUUUUGGUUUCGUAAUAGGUUUGUUCGAGUGAGUUGUUGGGCUGCUGCAAAUAUUCUAGUACAACACCCAACAGAUAUGAAGAUGAAUAAUCAACCUUUGGCCUCUGUUUCCCUACUCCCUUAACCUUUUACCACUUUAGGUGUGAGAAUCACUUGCUUGUAUGUGCACAUAUCUGUCAGUGUGUGAUAUGUUUACAAACUAGAUAGGUCCAACGGUACAUGUAUUUACCUGUACAGGAAAACCACAGUAGUUGCUGACUACAUAAGCAUAAUGCUUGUUUUUGCUCAGAGAAUCUUGUGUUUGGAGUAUGUAGCAUGUUUUAGUAAACUGUUAAGGGAUAGCUUGUUUCAUUUAUUAAUUUUUUUCCCCUAAUGGUUUGGGACAGGUGUUUCAGGUAUAGGAAGGGAACAUGAUUUUUUUUUUCACCUGACUGUUGAUGAAAGGGGACAUGCUUUUGAGGCAGAAUAGGGAAGGAUAUUAGCUUUGGGGUGAGAUCUGGGUUUGAAUUCUAGUGUUCCUGCUAUGUAAUAGUGGGUAUUAUUUAAAAUCUCUUUGAGCCUCACUUUCUUAUAAAAUUUUUGUGAGGCUUGAAUAAGAUUACACAUGCAAAGUAGUACAUUGCUUGAAUGCUGUGAAAGUAAUGGCUACUCUCAUGGUUGGACGGGCAAAUUGUGUUCAGAGAAGGGCAGGAUGACUCUGCAUAAGGUGAUCUGCCGGUGCCCAGUAUUUCUUCCUCUUUAGUAUGAGAAAAAGGACCUUUAUGUCUUGAACUGGUUAGGGGGCUUAGAGCCUUUUUCUGGAAAGGUUUGACCCUUUGCAUCUCUUCCCUCCCCAUUGCAACUCCCCCUCCUACUCUUCCCCUUCAUUCCUAUUCCUCUACCAACUAUUGUGCUGCCCUCUUGUGGUUAACUACACUAAUAAGAACUUUCUUUUGCUCCUCUCUCAUUACUUUUUUCACUUCCCUUUGCUCCUAGUUUCCCAGACUGUGGCCCUAGAACGCCAUUGAACUCAGGCUUGAACUGAUAGAUUGAUGUAGGUCACAGUUUCAACAUUAGAUUGAUACAAUCCUUUUUAAAGUGUCAUGUUUUCGCAAAGCUGUGUUUUUAGAGGUUGCUCUAAAGUAACUACUAUAUGAAAAUAAGUGUGACCCAGGAUAUGAGAGUGUGGUGUCUAUUUUGAUUGCAGGUUUGAGAAUUUGUACAGUGCCCAACAAGCAUAAGUUAUAAGAACAUUAAUGCUUAAGUGGUUUGAACUCACCUGCUUAAGUAUUUCUUUUGGCCUAGAGGUACUGUGAAAAAAUUACUAAGACUAAGGAUUCCCUAAAUGGAGAAAGUUUGGGAACCUCUGCUUUAGCUUUUGGUUGGCUUUUCUGAUAUAAUUUUUUUUAAUGGAAAAGCUGCAUUUUUCAAAUGUUGCUCACUAAUUGAUUCCCUCCCCACCACAACUGACAAGAUUAUUGAUACAAAGCUAGUACCUGCCGAUCAUAGUUUAAUAUAUUUACUCCUAUUUAAUAUCUUUAUAGCUUAUGCCCAGUUCUUUCAUUCUGAACUAAGAUUAUCGCUUGUCAUUCUACUUCCUGGUUUUUCCAAUUACGCCUUGGUAAUUUUCUUCUCUCCUGUUCAUAUUUCUUUCUUUUUUCUUUUUCGUCUUUUGUCUUUUUAGGGCUGCACCCACCACAGCAUAUGGAGAUUCCUAGGCUAGGAGUCUAAUCAGAGCUGUAAGCUGCCUGCCUACUCCACAGCGACACCAGAUCCAAGCUGAGUCUGCAACCUACACCACAGCUCACAGCAACGCCAGAUCCUUAACCCACUGAGUGAGGCCAGGGAUCAAACCCGCAACCUCAUGGUUCCUAGUCAGAUUCGUUUCCGCUGCGCCAUGACCGGAACUCCUUUGGUUCAUAUUUCUUUUCUUAGUCAUAUCUCUGCUUCUCCCAUUUUUUGUUUUUUUGUGUUGUUUUGUUUUUUUUGUUUUUGUUUUUGGGGCCACACCUCUGGUACAUGAACGUUCCCAGCCUAGGGGUUGAAUUAGAGCUAUAGCUGCCAGCCUACACCACAGCAGUAGCAACACGGGAUCCAAGCUGAGUCUCUGACCUACACCACACCUCACGGCAAUGUCAGAUCCUUAACAUGCUGAGCAAGGCCAAGGAUCGUACCUGCAGCCUCUUGGAUACUUGUCGGAUUCCUUUCUGCUGAGCCAUGAUGGGAACUCCAGCUUCCCGCGUUUUACCACCACGAAUACCAGGACUCUUCCUCAGUCUAGCAUAUUGAAAGUCAUAUCAAUCUAUUAGAAUCCAGCAUCUCUUCCUUUUAUUUAUCCUCAUUAACACAUGUCACUCUAAAUACUUCUCAUUGUGGAAUUCUCUUGUUCCCAAAUCUUCAGUGGCUUCCCACCUAUUAAGUUUAUAUUCCUUUUCCUGGCUUCUAAGACACUUUCAUCAGUUCCUGCCCUAUUUAUUCAGCCUUUUGUCUAAGACCCCCAAUGAGCAUUCUCUGCUCUAGUAUUGCAAGCUGCUUUGCUUUCCAAUAAUAGCUAUACUUAUUCUGUUUUUUAACUUGACUCAUGUUUUCCACCCUUCUUCCACAAAGCCCAAUUCUACACCCUGUUGCAUUCCUCACUAGAUGUGGUAUAACUGAGCAGGGUCUCAGUCUCCUUAUCUGAAAAAUGAGGAGAAUUGUACUUUUUCCACAGGGCUGUAGUGAGAAUUAAGUGAGUUAAGACGUGAAAAGCACCCAAGACUAGGGCCUUGCACAUUAAGCACUCCCUGAUAUAAAAUAAGCUCCUUUAAUAAUAAUAAACUAAUAAUAUAUAUAAUAAAAUAUUAUUAUACUACAUAAUGCUCCUUAUAGAAUCCACAUAGUCACAACUAUUUAUUACUACUAUUAUUACUACUGUUGUACUCAUAGUUAAAAUUCAACCUUGUUUGUGAAACUUUCUCACUAAAUACUGUUUUUUUUUCCUCUUUAUAGCUCUGUAGGUCUUUUAGUCUUAGAAUAUCUUCACUUAGUUUAUAUAUCAUGCUUUGGUUGUUUGAUAGUUACUUCCCUAGUGUUAGCCAUAUCUUUUCAAGUUGAUUGUGUAUGUUUUAAGAAAUAAGAUCUAGAUUAAACACACUCAGAGUGCUGAGUACAUGGGGAAUAUUCAGUAAAUGCUGU